GAACAGCCUCCUCCAAAAUGCAGCUUGAGUGUGAUCCACGGCAAAAUGCUGAAAUAACUCUGCCAGGUUCUAGAAGCUUUAAGAUUCAUCCCAUUGAACUUGAUACAUACACAACAGUAGCUUGAAAAUGAACCAUCUGCUAGUUCAGUAUUUUCUCCUUAUAAUCACUCCCUCCCAGGGUAUAUAAUUAAUUUACUGCGCUUUAAAAGAAAAAAGU
RNAcentral lists this long non-coding RNA (217 nucleotides) under Chinchilla lanigera (long-tailed chinchilla). RNAcentral describes it as "Prostate androgen-regulated transcript 1 conserved region 1 (ENSCLAG00000020706.1)". It matches the Rfam family "Prostate androgen-regulated transcript 1 conserved region 1". Lineage: Eukaryota; Metazoa; Chordata; Mammalia; Rodentia; Chinchillidae. The record is from RNAcentral.